Molecule: transfer RNA, 71 nt
Filed under: Sphaerodactylus townsendi
Lineage: Eukaryota; Metazoa; Chordata; Lepidosauria; Squamata; Sphaerodactylidae
Description: tRNA-Ala
Source: RNAcentral
GAACAAUGACUCAGUGGUAAUGUGCUUGCUUGGCAUGCAAAGGGCCCCCGGUUCAAUCCCAGACAUCUCCA